GACGAACGCUGGCGGCGUGCUUAACACAUGCAAGUCGAACGGAAAGGCUCCAGCUUGCUGGAGUACUCGAGUGGCGAACGGGUGAGUAACACGUGGGUGAUCUGCCCUGCACUUCGGGAUAAGCCUGGGAAACUGGGUCUAAUACCGGAUAGGACCGCACUUUGGUGUGUGUGGUGGAAAGGUUUUUCUGGUGUGGGAUGAGCUCGCGGCCUAUCAGUUUGGUGGUGGGGUAAUGGCCUACCAAGACGGCGACGGGUAGCCGGCCUGAGAGGGUGGACGGGCACAUUGGGACUGAGAUACGGCCCAGACUCCUACGGGAGGCAGCAGGGGGGAAUAUUGCACAAUGGGGGAAACCCUGAUGCAGCGACGCCGCGUGGGGGAUGAAGGCCUUCGGGUUGUAAACUCCUUUCGCUAGGGACGAAGCUUUUUGUGACGGUACCUGGAGAAGAAGCACCGGCUAACUACGUG
This 468-nucleotide ribosomal RNA is filed under the name uncultured bacterium. RNAcentral describes it as "partial 16S ribosomal RNA". It matches the Rfam family "Bacterial small subunit ribosomal RNA", at positions 28 to 507 of the family's 1533-position model. The record is from RNAcentral.